This 69-nucleotide transfer RNA is filed under the name Aplastodiscus arildae (Teresopolis treefrog). RNAcentral describes it as "tRNA-His". It matches the Rfam family "tRNA". From Rfam's summary of the family: Transfer RNA (tRNA) molecules are approximately 80 nucleotides in length. Their secondary structure includes four short double-helical elements and three loops (D, anti-codon, and T loops). Further hydrogen bonds mediate the characteristic L-shaped molecular structure. tRNAs have two regions of fundamental functional importance: the anti-codon, which is responsible for specific mRNA codon recognition, and the 3' end, to which the tRNAs corresponding amino acid is attached (by aminoacyl-tRNA synthetases). tRNAs cope with the degeneracy of the genetic code in two manners: having more than one tRNA (with a specific anti-codon) for a particular amino acid; and 'wobble' base-pairing, i.e. permitting non-standard base-pairing at the 3rd anti-codon position. Lineage: Eukaryota; Metazoa; Chordata; Amphibia; Anura; Hylidae. The record is from RNAcentral.
GUAAAUAUAGUUUAAUUAAAACCCUAGUCUGUGAAUCUAGAAAUGGAAGUUAAACUCCUCCUAUUCACC